GAUGAACGCUGGCGGCGUGCCUAAUACAUGCAAGUCGAGCGAACAGACGAGGAGCUUGCUCCUCUGACGUUAGCGGCGGACGGGUGAGUAACACGUGGAUAACCUACCUAUAAGACUGGGAUAACUUCGGGAAACCGGAGCUAAUACCGGAUAAUAUAUUGAACCGCAUGGUUCAAUAGUGAAAGACGGUUUUGCUGUCACUUAUAGAUGGAUCCGCGCCGCAUUAGCUAGUUGGUAAGGUACCGGCUUACCAAGGCAACGAUGCGUAGCCGACCUGAGAGGGUGAUCGGCCGCGCGAGAACUGAGACACGGUCCAGACUCCUAAGGGAGGCAGCAGUAGGGAAUCUUCCGCAAUGGGCGAGAGCGUGGCGGAGCAACGCCGCGUGAGUGCUGAAGGUCUUCGGGUCGUAAAACUCUGUUAUUAGGGGAGAACAGAUGUGUAAGUAACUAUGCACGUCUUGACGGUACCUAAUCAGAAAGCCACGGCUAACUACGUG
RNAcentral lists this ribosomal RNA (497 nucleotides) under uncultured bacterium. RNAcentral's name for it is "partial 16S ribosomal RNA". It matches the Rfam family "Bacterial small subunit ribosomal RNA", at positions 28 to 507 of the family's 1533-position model. The record is from RNAcentral.